RNAcentral lists this ribosomal RNA (253 nucleotides) under uncultured bacterium. Its description in RNAcentral is "partial 16S ribosomal RNA". It matches the Rfam family "Bacterial small subunit ribosomal RNA", at positions 524 to 776 of the family's 1533-position model. The record is from RNAcentral.
UACGAGGGGGGCGAGCGUUGUUCGGAAUUAUUGGGCGUAAAGGGCGCGUAGGCGGUGCGGUAAGUCACCUGUGAAACCUCUGGGCUUAACUCAGAGCCUGCAGGCGAAACUGCCGUGCUGGAGUGUGGGAGAGGUGCGUGGAAUUCCCGGUGUAGCGGUGAAAUGCGUAGAUAUCGGGAGGAACCCCUGUGGCGAAAGCGGCGCACUGGACCACAACUGACGCUGAGGCGCGAAAGCUAGGGGAGCAAACAGG